This 861-nucleotide long non-coding RNA is filed under the name Capsicum annuum. Its description in RNAcentral is "long non-coding RNA (CANN_LNC016943)". The record is from RNAcentral. Lineage: Eukaryota; Viridiplantae; Streptophyta; Magnoliopsida; Solanales; Solanaceae.
UGCGCAAAAAUUUGACAAAAUAUAAAACAAAAAUUAAAGAAAAUUAAUAAAAAUAAUACUGAUGACUUUGGGGUCUUACAAAAGCGUGGGUUAACAAAUUAAACAUUUGGGUUAACAACGAAAAGUUUCAAUCGACUGCUCCAAAUCGGACACUUUGGGCCUCCGAUCUUCAAAUCAGUGCUACGAAACUAUAAAUUUGUGCUGCAGUGCAUCCCAAAAUUAACAAAAACUUCGCACCAGUGUCGACUGCAUCUCAAAUCGGUGCUCCGACUAUCGCACCGACAACCAGUGCUCCAAUCGACUACUGCUCCGACUAUGAGUGCUUCGACCUCUUUUGAUUGAACUCUAGUUGUCUAUUGAAAUGGGUAUUCAUGAUUCUUGCAGCUAUUUUGAUUUGUGGAAAUACUUGCAAAGUGCCAUUGGAUUUUAGUGCCCUAAUUUCUAGCUUCUAACAGUAUUUUUAUGCUUAUGGCAAAGACUAAGUUAGAAGUGUAGCUGAGAAUUCUUUUGUAAUAGUAUUAGGCAUGAAAAUAUCAUAAUUCGAAGGCUGGUAUUAAUUUGGUUCUCUUUUGUUCUUUACGGUUGGUUCUUUGCAACAUUGUUUGUAGAAUAAGUGAAGGAAGUUUUUCCCUAAUGCAAGUGGCUGAUAUACGGUAAUGCCCGGAGGUGCGUUUGGUAGGUAAUCCAUGGACUGGUACUAACAAUAUAAUAGUUUAGGGAGGAAUAGAUUUAGUAGAGAUACAGUUUCGUAACCAGUAUAAUUAAGUGUUGCGAUAUUUACUUACCCGGCUAAUAGAAUAUUGGGCAUGACUGUAGCUCCAAAUGCUGCUUUCUUGACUGGUUUACUUGACCCAAUCGCAG